GACGAACGCUGGCGGCGUGCCUAACACAUGUAAGUCGCACGGGACCGGGGGCAACUCCGGUUCAGUGGCAGACGGGUGCGUAACACGUGAAGAACCUGUCCAAUGGUGGGGGAUAGCCGGCCCAACGGCCGGGUAAUACCGCAUACGAUCGUUCGGGGGCAUCCCUGGGCGAUGAAAGCAGCCGCAAGGUUGCGCCGAUGGAGGGCUUCGCGGCCUAUCAGCUAGUUGGCGGGGUAAUGGCCCACCAAGGCGACGACGGGUAGCUGGUCUGAGAGGAUGGCCAGCCACAUUGGGACUGAGACACGGCCCAGACUCCUACGGGAGGCAGCAGUGGGGAAUCUUGCGCAAUGGCCGCAAGGCUGACGCAGCGACGCCGCGUGUGGGAUGACGGCCUUCGGGUUGUAAACCACUGUCGGGAGGAACGAAUACUCGGCUUCGAUAAGGAGACCGAGGGUGACGGUACCUCCAAAGGAAGCACCGGCUAACUCCGUGC
Molecule: ribosomal RNA, 493 nt
Filed under: uncultured bacterium
Lineage: Bacteria
Description: bacterial SSU rRNA
Rfam family: Bacterial small subunit ribosomal RNA
Source: RNAcentral